GCUCAGUAGCGUUUCUGUUUCCUCUCCCUGCCUUUCAUCACUCAGCCCAGGUCCUGACCCUUGGUUUUAUCACCGCAUCUUGGAUAUCAUUCCCUGUGCGCUGCAGGACCUUGUUUAUCCAUCCUAUGUAUAAAGUCUGCAUCUGCUGAUCUCAGACUCCAAAACCUUCUUUCCCCCACUAUCCCCAUCCUGGGCAACCAUGAGCCUGUUCUCUGGGCUUGUGAGUUUCUGUUUUGUAGAUAAGUUCAUUUGUGUCAUAUUUGAGAUGCCACAUAUAGGCGAUAUCCUAUGGUAUCUGCCUUUCUGACUUACUUCGCUCAGUAGGAAUCUCCAGCUCCAUCAGGGUGGUAUUUAUUAAGCCAAGGAGGAACGUUCCGAAGAAGACAGCUCACGAGAAGGUGGUUACCCGUGGCUGUCCGGUCCCUCAUGACGGCGGCACAUUCACCCAGCCCUGCAGAGAUGGGAGCUGCUGCACGGGGCGCAGGGCGUGGGACAGGCGUGCACGUGUGCAUCUUCUUGUGAGAGUUCUCGGAUUUGGCUACAGUUUGGGUCAAGGUCACGCUAGGCGGACAUCAUGCCCACCCUUCAUUUCUUUCACCUGCUUGGUGGAUUGAGGCUAUUAACCUCCAAAGCAAGGGGCCUGCAGAACAAGCCUGAGAAGGAGGCCGGCCUGGACCUUGGCACUCACCUCAUCAUGCUCCGGUCACGAAAACGAAACCUGAGUUGUAUGUGAGGCUCAGUUUUUGUCCUCAAAGACCGAUGAGGAUGUACCUAAGAAUACUUCACAUUUUUUGGAGUUCUCUUGUCCCUCAGCGGGUUAAGGGGCCAGCACGGCUUCUGCUGUGGCUCUGGUCGUUGCUGCUGUGGUGGUUCCAUCCCUGGCCCGGGAGCUUCCACAUGUCGCAGGCACCACCAAAAUAAAAAGACUUUCUAACCAUGUCAGCCUCCCUGGCACCCACAGCCACAGGCAGGAGCUGGUGGGAACCGUCUCCUCCGCGUCUCCAGACGCUAUAAAAUUAAGCCGAUAAAAGACAUUCCUGCCAGUGAACUUUGAAGUCAGUGACCAGGAAAGAGUAUAAGAAGUCUUAUUAAUUGUUCUCUUGUUGGCACUACACUUAACAAAAUAGUUUGGCUCUCUUAUUUUGACCUUGUGCUCUGAAGAGCUGUUGUAAUGAACUUGGACCCCGGGCUCCACGUGUGUGGUUACUCAUUGACUGAAGACUUGAAAGGGGCUGGACCCCAGUUCCCUGGGCCUGGUGCAUUCCCCGGGGUGUUUCACGUCCCACAGUGAAGUGCCGCCUGACUUUAUCACGCCCAUAUCGCUCCCGUUUUGGUGAAAGGUUUCACUUUAAACUUAACGUGCCACGUUGAAGCAUAA
Phacochoerus africanus (Common warthog) is the source of this 1378-nucleotide long non-coding RNA. RefSeq lists it as uncharacterized. The transcript is spliced from 3 exons. The record is from RefSeq and is a predicted model, not a curated record. Lineage: Eukaryota; Metazoa; Chordata; Mammalia; Artiodactyla; Suidae.